GACGAACCGUGCGAACGUUAUUCGGAAUCACUGGGCUUAAAGCGCGUGUAGGCGGGAAGGCACGUCUGUCGCUGGAAUCCCCCGGCUCAACCGGGGAACGGGCGCGGAUACGACCUUCCUGGAGGGGCGUAGGGGGACCUGGAACUUCCGGUGGAGCGGUGAAAUGCGUUGAGAUCGGAAGGAACGCCCGUGGCGAAAGCGAGGUCCUGGACGCCUACUGACGCUGAGACGCGAAAGCCAGGGGAGCGAACGGG
Molecule: ribosomal RNA, 254 nt
Filed under: uncultured bacterium
Lineage: Bacteria
Description: partial 16S ribosomal RNA
Rfam family: Bacterial small subunit ribosomal RNA
Source: RNAcentral